CCCGUCUUGAAACACGGACCAAGAGAGUGCAAGAGAUGCGCGAGUCGGAAGGGUUGUGUUGGGGCCGUUAGGCCUCGCCUGAGAGACCCAUGUGUUUGGAACGGGCGAAGUGAGAGCAAUUCAUGGGUGCGAGAGCCGGGGGGAGACCCCUGGCGCAUCGCUGGCCGAGCCGUAUGGUCACGCUGUGGCCGGUUUCGAGUGCGAGCGUAUCUGUUGCGWCCCGAAAGAUGGUGAACUAUGCCUGAGGAGGGUGAAGCCAGAGGAAACUCUGGUGGAGGCCCGUAGCGGUUCUGACGUGCAAAUCGAUCGUCGCACUUGGGUAUAGGGGCGAAAGACUAAUCGAACCAUCUAGUAGCUGGUUCCCUCCGAAGUUUCCCUCAGGAUAGCUGGAGCUCGUUCAGAGCAGUUUCGUCGGGUAAAGCGAAUGAUUAGAGGUAUCGGGGUUGAAAGGGCCUCGCCCUAUUCUCAAACUUUAAAUCGGCGAGAAGGGAUCGUCUUGCCUGCCGGAAGACGUCCCUCGAAUGCAGGGGCUCCAAGUGGGCCGUUUUUGGUAAGCAGAACCGGCGAUGCGGGAUGAACCGAACGCUGGGCUAUGGCGCCGGAGUCGACGCUGAGCAGAUACCAGGAAAGGUGUUGGUUGAUCCAGACAGCAG
This 653-nucleotide ribosomal RNA is filed under the name Siphonochalina sp. A GPM-2011. Its description in RNAcentral is "eukaryotic LSU rRNA". It matches the Rfam family "Eukaryotic large subunit ribosomal RNA", at positions 648 to 1243 of the family's 3401-position model. The record is from RNAcentral. Lineage: Eukaryota; Metazoa; Porifera; Demospongiae; Haplosclerida; Callyspongiidae.